This 304-nucleotide long non-coding RNA is filed under the name Vigna radiata. Its description in RNAcentral is "long non-coding RNA (VRAD_LNC012643)". Lineage: Eukaryota; Viridiplantae; Streptophyta; Magnoliopsida; Fabales; Fabaceae. The record is from RNAcentral.
GAAACCUGUGGUGAAAGCACCAAAUGGAUGGGAAAAUAAAGGACUAUUGGACUUCAAAUAAAGGGCUUGAUCAUUGCUCUUUUGGGCUUAGAAAUACUUAUCUAUAACUAAUAGAAGAGAAUUUCUUCAUGCAUCCUGUUUUUUCUCCUGCACCCCUAACUUCGAAAAUCCUCCUUUUGCCCUCACUCAAAUUAAAAAUCCUACUCACUUUCUCUCCUAUCUUUCCCUUUCCUUUCCCCAGUCGUCACACUGAAUCCAUGUCUACAGCUCUCCUUUGUUAUUAUCAGCACACAAGACAUCUUCC